GGGAAUCUGAUGGCGAAGCAGCGAGGGCUCUUUGCUCAUCGGAGGCAAGUGGGAGAGCGCUGCCUUCUCGGCGCUUCACCUUCUGCUCCUGAUGCCUGAUCCAAUGCAGAAUAACUCAGCUCUCAAACUGGUACGAAGAGUGGCUAUUUUUUAGCAGAUCCCUCAGGACUGAGGCUCCUCAUCUGUAGGCCAAGGCAGCGCACCUUAGCGAUAAAACAACCUGGCGGUGGAAGAGCGGUUUCCUGGCCACUCGUGUGUUGAGCAGGGGCAGCUUUAAUGAGCUUCAGGCUGAUUAAGGCUCCUGCUGCGUGUGCAGUCUCCCGCAGCCAGCCCGGGGUCGCCUCUCCCUCCUGCUCCGUCUGGGGGGAGCGCGAAGGCAUCGUGCCUUUGGCCACCGGCGCGUUGGGAUCGAGUGAGCCAUGGAAAAGAUCCCGGAGCAGAGAGCGUCCCCUGAGCCUUGGCUGAACCCCGCGGCCCUCUGCAGGGGGUACAUCCAGCUUACUGCUAUGGACAGUGCUAUCACCCUGUGGCAGUUCCUCCUCCAACUCCUCCAAGAGCCUCAGAACAAGAAUAUCAUCUGUUGGACCUCCAACGACGGGGAGUUCAAACUGCUGCAGGCAGAGGAGGUGGCCAGACUCUGGGGAAUCCGCAAGAACAAGCCCAGUAUGAACUACGAUAAACUCAGCCGUGCUCUCAGAUACUAUUAUGUGAAGAAUAUCAUUAAAAAAGUGAAUGGUAAGAAGUUUGUGUACAAGUUUGUUUCUUAUCCGGAGAUUUUAAAUAUGGAUCCACUUGUCGUGGGCCGUAUAGAAGGAGACCCUGAAGUGACUGGUUUUGCAGAAGUUAGCAGUGCUCCAAAGGACGUGGAAAACUGUGGGAAGGAGAAGUCUCAGACGUGUGCUAAAUCCUCCAGCCGCAAUGACUAUAUCCACUCAGGCUUGUACUCCUCUUUUACUCUGAACUCCCUGAACUCUUCCAGCGUAAAACUCUUCAGGUCCAUCAAGAUUGAGAAUCCAGCUGAGAAGCUGUCAGAGAAGAAACCUGCUCAGGAUCCAACACCCUCUGUCAUCAAAUUUGUCACCAUGCCCUCCAAAAAGCCUCCAUCUGUCCCCCUGGUCUCUACCACUUCGACAGUCCCUGCCACUUCCACUGCUUCUGCCACUUCAACCGCAUCCUCUCUUCCCCUGGGAUCAGAAGAAACUCUCCAGACCUUGGAGACGCUUGUUCUACCCAAGUUAACUGUCCCUGAAGCUCCAGCACCUUUGCCAAACUUAACCACCAGCUUCACCCCAACUCCACCCAUAUCCUCAGUUUCUCCCACUCUGCAAGUUCCUUCCACACCCCCGUCGCCGCCCCUGAGCUCUAAUCCUGACCUGGACAUUGACACGGACAUAGAGUCCGUGACUUCUCAGCAGCUGGAGCAGGCUCAGAGCCUUCAGCACCAAUCCCCAGAGCCCAAAGAGCAGGAUUCAUCUGUGCUGGAGAAGGAAUUUGCCAAUCACCUCUCCAGAUCUAAAAAACCCAAAGGGCUGGAGUUGGCUCCUACCCUCGUCAUUACAGGCAGCGAUCCAAGUCCGCUGGGGAUUCUGAGUCCUUCUCUCCCAACUGCUUCUCUUACUCCAGCACUUUUCUCUCAGACUCCCAUCUUGCUGACCCCGAGUCCCUUGCUCUCCAGUAUUCACUUCUGGAGUACGCUAAGCCCAGUUGCUCCUCUCAGUCCUGCAAGGUUGCAAGGUGCUAACACACUCUUUCAGUUUCCAUCAGUGCUGAACAGUCAUGGCCCAUUUACUCUGUCUGGACUGGAUGGACCCUCUACCCCUGGCCCGUUUUCUCCCGAUCUACAGAAGACAUAGCACAUGAACUCACGGGAAGGACGUAUUGGCAAAGCAAGGGAAAGAUAUGACACUUAUAUUUAACCAUGUUUUUUAAAUGAGCAAUUUAUAAUUCCACAGAGAUUAUCAACAAUCAUAGUUUUUGCCAUUCCCAAAUAAAAUGCCUUUUUUGCAGAAUUCCCUUUUUUGAAGACCCAGGUUGGGAAUGUAUAUGCAAACGCCUUAAUAGGAGCUGAAGCUCCAGUCUCUCCUCUUCCCUCCUUGGUCUGGAAGACUUCACUAUGGUUAAAGGGAGUUUCAGUUGGUGUUGCAGUAACUGAGUCUGCACUGAUUGCAGUAAACCCUAUCAGAGAAGUCUUUUCUCUGUGACUCUUGGAAAAACCCCUCUGUUCUUCUGCUUCCUGUGCUUGGCAAGAAGAAAUCUAAUCAUGAAAGAAGCUGGCAUUCCAGGAAAUGCUUUUGGAAAGGGGUGUGUGCACUCAGCUUUGCCUUGGGGCCUGAUAACUUCUGCAGCAACAAAACAGCCCGCGUCUUUUCUGCUGUAAAAACAUCUUGUCUUUUUGCAGGGAGAAAUUUUUUCAAGGAAUAUUCAAAUGUUUGCGUUCCUGAGAUACGGACAAUUUUUGAAUGGCGUCGCCUACCGACAGUCCAGCCCCUCGGAGAAGUGACCUGGUUAGCUUCUGGGUGCUUCCCCGCCCUCCCUUGGCUGAGGAGGCGAGGUCUGGAGACAGAUGAAUGGUGGGAUUGGUUCCUUUCAGUUCUCAGAAAGUUUGAAUGCUCAAGUCCAAACAUUUCUUGUGCCAGAGACCUGUUACGAAGCCUGUAAUCUCACUUGCUAGAAGAUUGGCAGGGUGGUGGAUGUUACACGCGGUUUUGAGGGUGUGUCUGUAUUCGGCGAGGUUGCUGCCCGAUGCUGGAGUUUCAGACCCAGACAGUGGGUGAGAACACUAACGUCCAAGCACUAGCGUUACUGCUCUUUGCCCACAGUUGAAGGGGAGUAGCAUCUCUCCUACCAGCUCUUAUCUCAAGUUUUGCAUUAGAUCUAUUGCUUUUUUUAAUUUGAGGAAGCACUCAGAUCCAAACUAAGUAAGGCUCGGUGUGUACAGCUACCUGAGAGGGGUACCACAGCCUAUCAACCUUCUUGUAAAUUUGUGCUUUGCAUUCCUUUUCUUGGUGGCUGUGUGUGCACAGGUUAAUACGAGAUUAGGUUCCAGAGCCAGCUGAAACACUGAUGAAAGGAAAUUUGGAGUUAGGAUUUUUACAAUUCAGGGGGCCUUUAAAGAGAACUGAGGAAUGAAAGAAGAGAGACUUUCCUCUCACGGCCCCUCAGAGGCUGGGUGGCUCUCGUGGUCUGUGGGUGCUGGGCCCUGUGCCCCCCCACUUGGGGCAUCUGGUGUCAGGCAGCAACUUCUCUUUGCUACUGUGUACAUUGAGUUGGUGAAUUAAGAUAAUCUUCUCUGUAAAAUACCCAUUAGAAAAGAGAUGGAGACCCUCUCUCUGCUUUGGCAACCUCACUGGCUGUCUUCAAAGUUUUAAUGAGCAGAGGAAGAUUGUACCUUUACAGCAAGAGGAGCUGACAGUGUACGCUGUAUAUAUUGCACCUGUUUUAUGGAUAAGUGGUGAACUCGAGCUCUCCCGAGUUUUCCUUUUGCCACUUUUGCAGACUCUGAAUUCACUUUAAAGCGUGUGACAAUACCCAAGACUUAAUUUACUGCAGUGAUGUUAUCUUUCUAUAUUCUAGCAUUGAAAUAUGUAAACCACUUAGUAUGUUCCUGACAUGACAUCCGAGACGGGGUGGGGGGGGUGUAUGUAACGGAGUUGCUUUUUUGGGCAUUGUUUAUCCAGAAAGUCCUCUGCCCGGUGGGAGGUGGGAGAAAAGAUUAUGCCUUCUUCUGGUGGAGGUAGCAGGGAGCGAGCUCCUGUAGUGAACUGCCUUCCUGUUUGGUCACAUUGGAGGCAUAACACUGCUUCGCAUUUUAGACAUCAGCAGAUGCAGGGUAAAGUUCCUGUGCCAGCAGCUCUUAAAAUGACAAUGUGCAAUAUUGACCUUUUUUUUUUUUUUUUUAAAUGCAGAAAGCAAGCUGCAGAUCAUAAUUAAGAGCAGGCAUCUGGAAUUUUCUGGUUUGCAUGAUGGCUUAUUAGUCUGGUCUAGAAAAUAUAUAUAUAGCUAUAUAUAAAUAGCAGCACUUUUAAUGGUUGUUUUAGGUUGGCCAAUUUUAUGCCCACCAAGUGUGUGGACUUGAGAGCAACAUUGCAGACUAGGAUUAGAGUUUAAAAAUAAUUAAUGAGCACUAAAGACUUGCAAUUUAAUUGCUUCCCUUUCCUUGUCCCCUAUGGAGAAAAGCCAAGUUGUAUUUGUUUAAAAGUUGUGUAUGUGCACACAUGCACUUAAUUAUUUGUAUACUUUUUCACUUUCAGCAUAGGUAUGCAAGAGAACCAAACGCUGACGUCGCUUGUCGGUUGUGCUUGGCCUUGGUUUCACGCUCUUCUCCGAGUAGUUUUGGGAGAUUGCGGUGCCAGAGCUGGUUGAUGAGAUACGCGCUCGCCUUCGGGAAUAGCUUCUUCCCAGAGAGUUAGCAUGGAAAAGCAGCCCGUGUGUGAUGGUUUCGAGCUGGUAAUAGCCAACUUCCCGACAGACAGCACUGAGGAGAUGAUUGCUUUUGCUUCUUAAGCACCUGCCUAGGAAAAUAGAAGUCCCAUAUAGGAUGAUAAUCUCAGGAGGCAGUUAGGAAAGCAAGUGGGGAGGGGAGGGGAGGUGGGAGAGGAGCAGCCUGCUCGCCUUUUCUCCAUUAACAGCUUUCAGGCCACUUAAGGUAACGUUAUCUUGUAUAUAUGCUGCUUCAUUAAACACACAUCUACUAACAAGUGUAGAACUGCCAGCUUUUUUGGAUCACAUUCCUGACAGAGCACGGUGUCGCUGUGACUUCUUGGAGCUUGGUUCUGUGAAUUGCUGAUACUCUUACUGGCUCACUUCAGGAGCAGUUUGCAGCUCGUUGCAACUUGUUUUUAAUUUAGUGUAGGGAAAGUGGGGGUUAAUAUAGGCUCACUUUUAAUUAUCAUGGUAGCAGUCUGUAAAAUGGGUAUAGUACCGUGUCGGUUUAAAAAAAAAUUAUAACGCAGCAUUACAGAAACAUUUUAUUACGUUACAGUUGGUGUUGCUGAAGUAGCCAUGGUAUUGUUGAAUGCUUGAUAAUAUUUGCAUCGGUUAAUUCGUAGAUGGUGGUAGGAUUAGACUGGGUGAGCAUGGAAGCUGAACAUCUGUCUUGCUUCUGGAAAUCUCUUACGUGUCACUGCUGCUGCGUACUCUGUGCUGCAGAGUUAGACACCUCGCGCUGCUGGGGCCGCGUGUGCUAUGUCUGGCUUUUUUUUUUUGGAGAUCCUGAGCUGUCAGGAUGCCACUAGCAACACGUGCUGCUAGCAGAAACGGUCCGUGGAAAGCAGAAAUGUGUUAAUAAUACCCUCCGGUUCUAGAACCAUACUUGUUCUGUCUUACCUGUUUUCAGAGAAUGUGAUCCUCAUCCUGAGGGUGGUGGAGGAAAGUUGUUUUGGGUUUUGGGUUUGGUGUUGUGUUUUGUUUUUUUUUUUUCCUUAGCAGCAGCUUAAGAUCUUUGUUUCAGAAAUCGGUCUUCAGCAGUGGUGGCUGAAUGUAAUUCCUAUGCACUGUCUUUGGCACAUUUGAGUUGCAUUUUGCAAUAGGUCAGGAAGUAAUAAAAUUCCUCGAAUUUGAGAAUUCAUUGUUUUAACUUCGAGCAUCCUAAGACUUCAGUAUCCAUGUACUUCGGUAUAGUGGAGCAUGCUUUAUAAUAUGAAAGGCUUUGAUUGUUCAGUGAUUUGUUUGGGAUCAUUUCUCCCUCCGAUAUGUUUUCAAACCUCAGAUAUCUAGCAAGUAGAUUUUUCUUGGUUUUUUUUUUAUAGCGUUCAUCUUGCCCUCUAGACGGCUCUUUGAGAUGCAUGAGUGUCAGAUUCCCUCACGCCGGCAGGUUGGGCAGGGCGAGCCUCGCUCCUUGCUGUGGUUUCUCAGGGCAGCGCAGGCUCAGAGCUGUGAUCCCCUUCUGUAGCGUUUGUCUAGUGCUGAGCUCAGAACCCACCGUUCUGACAGCCCGGGGUUUGUCCGCCCGUCUUUUAGUUACCUUUUGCUACCGUUUUAUAGCGGUUUUGUAUGUACUCAUGUUUUACUCUACGAUUUAACCUCUUCCAUUUUGAAUGCAUCCUUGUUUACAAGACACAUCUCAGUGUUGUAUCAAGAGGCUAUCUUGGUAUUGUCGGCUAUGAAAAUCAACUACAUCAGUAGUUAAGGAACAUUGUCAAAGGUGACAGGUAUUUUAAAACUCGAUGUUUGAGUUUUGGGCGUCCAUAAUAAUUUUGUUCUGUUUCGUUCUUUAGUCCUCCUGUGUAAGAAAUAACAUUGUACCCUCUGGCCUCUGAGGUCGUGGGUACGGACCGUUUAUUUUUUUUCUCAAUAAUCACAGAGCGUGGCGUUGCAAACAAACAGCCCCACAGGAUCUUAGACUCGGCAGAUAAGUUGAAAAUCAUUAGAAUCGCGAUCAUGUUGCUUCGGAGCUAUUUUUAAUGAGGUAUAGUAUGUCUUGCCUAAACAGGAAUUUUUAUGGUUUGAUUUGUAUUUAAUUAAACAGUAAUUGGCAAUGGCUGCCGUUUUGUCUGAACAGUAUUAGCAAAUCUGCUUAAUGUGGCGGUCUUUAGCUAUUGCCAUCGAGUUGAGUGGUGGUUAAUAUGUGACCUGCUAAAGUUGAUCUGCUGAAAUCAGAAGCCGCCAGAUGAAGAUUAAAAGAUAAAAUGCAGUGCCAGUUGUUUUAACACCGUCCUUGAGGACUAUUACUGCAAAGGCUUUGUCUUGGACCGACCUCUGUGGACACGGCACUCAGCUCGUGUAUGGACUGUGUAGGAGCCCUUUGUAAAAGCUGCUUCUGGACAGAGAAUAAUUUUUGAAAGGAGAACUAAAUCUUUUCUCCAUAGCCUGCUUUUAGUCAUCAGGAUGUAAUGUAGGAGCUACAAAGCCGCAGUAAUGGCAGUGCUGCCCUAUUUCUUCAAUCUGUGUUUAUCAUCAACAGAGCUUCUGUUGAGAUUUCCUGGCUGUCUUGGUGCCAUCUAAAGCAGAAAGGCUAAGCUUUGGUUUGGGGUGGCUAGUGGAUCUCAAACUGAGGGAUAUUAUUCUUGCCUUUGUACAAAAAGCAAACAAAAAUAAGGGGAGAAUAUGUUCACUGCAGAACGUUGAUUCUUUUUGGAGGAUGCAGCUUUGCCGACUGUAACCAUUGCUUUGCAAAAAAACAAAAAAAAAGUGACCUGCAAGGACAGCUGGAAUUAAUCUGGGACUGAACCGACUCUGAGCAGGGAUCCUUAACCAGCAGGAGACUUUGUCUUGGGAAUGCUGAGAAUCUCCGAGCCAGCCGCUGGGAAUCGCACGCCAGAGGCUUGUAAAUCAGAGCAGAUCUGUUGGCUUCGCUGCAACUGGUCCGACUUACACCGGCUGAGAACCUGGUCUUUGCAGCUUCUCCUCUGUGGCUUAGAUAAGAGUCAGGGGAGGGAAGCUUGACUUAAAUUUUAGAGAACUUAAGCAACCUAAUCAGCUGUGGUAACGUGUGACAGUUGUUCUGUUUAUUUUUAAAGUGCACAUCUGUUUUGGAAAGUGACUUUCUGACGCCUUUAGUGUUUACUCCUCAAUGGAAUUUUUAGGUUAACCUGUUUUUGGUUUUUUUUUGCACAUCAGCAGGAUGAUGUCUGCAGUGGGUUUUUUUUAUGCUCCAGCAGCCCUGGCAUCUCUGCUUGGGGCAGGCUGAGCAGACAUUGUGUCAGUUAACUUUUUAUCACUGGAAUGGAUUCCAUUUUACUUACCUGUAAUUUUAGAAGAACCAUCAGUGGUAAGAAUUGCAUUGAAAGCAGCAGAGAGAACAUUUUCAGCUAUUCUUUCCAGAACAGAAUUGCAUUUUUUUAAUAUAUAUAUGUGUAUAUAUAUAGCACAAAGUCAAGAGACAAAGCAAGUUAUGUUGUAGUGAGUGUCUUAACUUCCUACACUGGAGACUUUUUCUAGACAUGGUCUUUUAGAGACAACUGUAAUCUUACACCGCUUUGGUGCUCUCAUUACAGUUGGGUAAACUUGCCUGGGAGAGAAUAGCUUCUCAGUCUAACUUUUUGAAAGUAAUACCUUAUAAUAAGAGUAUCUUAAUGCCAUUGUGUUUAAAAAAAAAAAAAAUGCUGGUAUGUAAUGCAAGUACAUAAAUAGCCAAAGUUUUCAGUAAUUGUUCAGUGUUACUAAAUUUGCUUUUAUUUAACCUUCCAAGGUAACAUAUUAGGAAGACCUUCAGCGUGUUGAUUACAUAUUGGGGGGGGGGGGAAAAAAAAAAAAAGUCUUGAUCAACUUGAUUAUAGCAGAUAUGCAGUUAUUUGAACACAUUUCAGGUUUGAAUACAAUUUGGAGGCAAAGUUCGAAGAGGCAAAACUUACUUUGGAGGAAGUGCACUGUAAUGACACUUCGGAGUAACAAAAGCUGCUUUUACAGAGCGGCGUAUUGGCAGUUGUUAUUCAAACGUAAUGAAGGUCUUUCCUGAGAAAAAUCAGGUGACUUUUUCUAUUGCUUCAAUUUUUGUGCAAAAAAAAAAAAAAUAAUCAAUGUAUUGCAAUCUUUUUUAAAAAUGGGGUGGGAAUAGUUAAAGAAAACUAUUUUAUGUAAGAACUGACAGAGGGAUUUGCUUUGUAUAAUGCAAGCUGGCUUUAAAAAAGCAUUGUAGCAAAUUAUUCAAGUCAAUCAUAUGUUAAUAGUUAUGUGCAACCAGACAUGCAAAACAAUUGUAUUUUUUUAAAUAAAUAUUUUUAACAAA
Molecule: RNA transcript, 8665 nt
Organism: Athene cunicularia (burrowing owl)
Lineage: Eukaryota; Metazoa; Chordata; Aves; Strigiformes; Strigidae
Gene: ELK4
Gene name: ELK4, ETS transcription factor
Exons: 6
Source: RefSeq, a predicted model, not a curated record